RNAcentral lists this ribosomal RNA (253 nucleotides) under uncultured bacterium. RNAcentral describes it as "partial 16S ribosomal RNA". It matches the Rfam family "Bacterial small subunit ribosomal RNA", at positions 524 to 776 of the family's 1533-position model. The record is from RNAcentral.
UACGUAGGUGGCAAGCGUUGUCCGGAUUUAUUGGGUUUAAAGGGUGCGUAGGCGGCCCUGUAAGUCAGUGCUGAAAUAUCCCGGCUUAACCGGGAGGGUGGCAUUGAUACUGCAGGGCUUGAGUAAAGUUGAGGUAGGCGGAAUUGACGGUGUAGCGGUGAAAUGCUUAGAUAUCGUCAAGAACACCGAUAGUGUAGACAGCUUACUAAGCUUUAACUGACGCUGAGGCACGAAAGUGUGGGGAUCAAACAGG